AUACCUUAGCUUUGGCAGUAUCGCAGCUAAUGAGGUUUAUCUGAGGCACGAUUAUUGCUAAUUGAAAGAAAUAUACCUUAAAGCAAGC
RNAcentral lists this small nuclear RNA (88 nucleotides) under Dipodomys ordii (Ord's kangaroo rat). RNAcentral describes it as "U4 spliceosomal RNA (ENSDORG00000022969.2)". It matches the Rfam family "U4 spliceosomal RNA". From Rfam's summary of the family: U4 small nuclear RNA (U4 snRNA) is a component of the major U2-dependent spliceosome. The structure of U4 snRNA from yeast and human has been reported. The record is from RNAcentral. Lineage: Eukaryota; Metazoa; Chordata; Mammalia; Rodentia; Heteromyidae.